Long non-coding RNA from Metopolophium dirhodum (rose-grain aphid), 778 nucleotides. RefSeq lists it as uncharacterized. The record is from RefSeq and is a predicted model, not a curated record. NCBI's taxonomy places the organism in Eukaryota, Metazoa, Arthropoda, Insecta, Hemiptera, Aphididae. The transcript is spliced from 4 exons.
CCACAAAGAUAGCAACGGUAUGUUUGUUUGUGGAUUUACAAAGUUCAGGGGCCCUAACAAAAUCUACAAAUGACCUAGUAAAAUCUAGUGAAUUCCUGGCAAAUGUUUGAUACCAGUUUCGUAGUCAUAGCCAUGCUGGUGACAACUUAAAGGACAUAAAAAAUGUGAAAUGUAAAAGAAGAUAGAUGGAUUUUGAAGACGAACCACAGUCCAAAAAAAUAUGAACAUACUGAAUAAUUCUUCCGUUUUAACGGUUAAUAUAACUAACACUUAUAAUAUUAUUAUGGUUGAUGCCACAACCGAAUGUAAGAUUCGUUGGCUGAGCCAGCUACAAACAAUAAACCCGUUCGCGUUGUUGCAGAGAAUUCAGCUCCGGUUUAUCCUACAAUAUUAAUGAUUUCAUUGGUCAAGCCACAAUAAACGCGUUCGAGUUGUUGAAAAGUCAGCUCCGGUUCAUAUACCUAAGAAACGUCAUUGAAAAUUAUAAAUGUUAAUGAAAUUACGUUUAAUGUACACAGUCGCUGUUAUUUAAUAUUUAUAAUUGGCAGUGUUCGGAUUAGAUAAGUAUUUUAUUUAUCUAGAUAAAGAUAAAGAUAAUGCAACUCAAAUGUAUCUAUAGAUAGAUAUAAAAGAUAACUUAACUCAUAUUUAUCUAGAUAAAGAUAAAUACAUUUUUAUCUACAUAAAAAAGAUACAAUUUUUUUUUAAAUGGGUUUUAAAUGUAGGAAUAUUUUAGUUGGGCACUAGGAACAUAAUAAUAAUAAUGAUAUAAAUAAAA